UCAGAGGUGGAGAAAGUCAUAAGAAUCAGGGAGCCUGCCCCAAAUUGCCUCCUAUGAUAACUUUCCACAAAGACUGGAGGGGAGGCUUCAAACAUCUUCCUGCAGUGUCCAGCAAGACAGCGAGGCAGACUCCCUUUCUCCUGCCAAAGCCACGUGGAGCCAGACAGAACCACAAGCAUACCUGUGGUGCUUGGAGGCCCAAGUAGAAACUUGAAUGCUCACGGCUGCAUUGGCAGCUUCUACUUGCCUGCCUGGAUCACCGUUCCUCAUGAGAACUUGGAAAAGCAGGACUAUCAUUCUUGCUUGACAGACGAAGAAACCAAGCCUCAGGACUGCGUGCAAUUCUACUUGGAGAUCUUCAUAACACCUUAAGGGAAAAAUCCUUUUUGAAAGAAAAACAAGUCUGGGUGGUGCUUGAAAAUUCAGAAGGCAGCUAGAAACUCUGCCAAUUACAACUGGUGAUUGCUGAGUUCUGGAGACAGACUGGGCUUCUGCUUUCUUUUGGUGGAGGUGUCUGCUUGCAGAAAAUUUAUGUUCUGGGAUUUACAACUUCAGGGAGACAAAGGAAACUCCAGCUCAUCUCCCACAUCAUUGAUUGAGAGGACCAUUUUCUGACUGUCUGCACACGUUUCCUAUACUACCCUUUAAUGCAACAAUGGGAUGAAGAGAUGAAGACUUCUAGCAGGCUACCUCAGAAAGGUUGCUGACCAAAGGCUGUAUGGACCAAAAAGUCAUAACACCACCCUGGAUGAAAGGACAUUUACCUAAGGAAUUACCCGCUCUCAAUUCUUCCCAGGUGCAUGUAGUAUAGAUUAAAUAAGGUGGUUGUAUGGCAACAGAGACAUUAUUAGAAACAUUCUUCUUGAAGUUUGACAACAAAGCAGUAGAUGUGUAUCUACUACAGAGUUGUUAGUGAAAAAAGGUAUGUUUGAAGUAAUCAAUUGGUAUUCAUUUUAAACAGUAAUGGUCUUACUGAAGCUAAGUUUAAUACAUGCUGUGUUUGGAAGUAAUUUCUUUACCACUGUGUAGAAACCUUCACAGCUGUUCUUUUUUUGUUGUUGUGUUGUUGACAUUCAGUAGCAAAUUACAAGAAUCUCUGAUGAAAACUCCUUACAGCUAGAUGUGUUCUUAUUUUUGAAUUCAGACUCAGUGUCAAUGAUCUCACUACUCUAUCUCCAAUUUUCCCAAAUACAUGGGUAAAUUGUAAGUGGAAGCUAAUUUAUCUUCAAAAAUUUGAAGGGCAGGAUAGACACUGUCUAGUUUGGAAAUAUUAAGAAUAUAAUUCU
RNAcentral lists this long non-coding RNA (1286 nucleotides) under Homo sapiens (human). Its description in RNAcentral is "HSALNT0323033". Lineage: Eukaryota; Metazoa; Chordata; Mammalia; Primates; Hominidae. The record is from RNAcentral.